Molecule: ribosomal RNA, 546 nt
Filed under: Laevichlamys squamosa
Lineage: Eukaryota; Metazoa; Mollusca; Bivalvia; Pectinida; Pectinidae
Description: partial 16S ribosomal RNA
Rfam family: Bacterial large subunit ribosomal RNA
Source: RNAcentral
UGCCUUCCCAGUGGGUAUACGAGCCUAAACGGACGCGGUAAAUCGUGCUAAGGUAGCUAAAUUAUGGCCUAUUAAUUGUAGGUCCUGUGAAUGGUUUGACGAGUCUUCAUCUGUCUCAAAGUUAUUUUGGUGAACUUAAAUUAAAUGUGCAAAUGCAUUUAUGAGAAAGAAAGACGAGAAGACCCCGUGAAGUUAGAAAUUUUUACUAUAAUGUAAAGUCUCGGUGGCUUGUAGUCAAUGUUGUGUUUAAUAAGUUGUUUAGUGCCUUUAAAUGAAGGUGAUAAAAAUUUAGUAAAAAGAGUUGAGAAGUAUAGUCAAUAGGUUUUGGCUGGGGCAGCAAAGAGGCAAAGCUAGACCUCUUUAGUCUAGUGACGGGUGCGUUAUGAUCCACAUGAUUGGUUAGAUGUGCUUAGCAGAAGAAGUUACUCCGGGGAUAACAGCGUUAUCCACCCUGACAGCUCUUAUAGAUGGGUGGGUUUGCGACCUCGAUGUUGGCUCUGGGUAUCCUGAGGCUGUAGGUGGUCUCAAAGGUUGGUUUGUUCGCCC